GACAGAGGGUGCAAACGUUGUUCGGAAUUACUGGGCGUAAAGCGCGUGUAGGCGGCCCUGCAAGUCGGGUGUGAAAUCCCACGGCUCAACCGUGGAAGUGCACUCGAAACUGCAGUGCUAGAAUCCUGGAGAGGCGAGUGGAAUUCCGAGUGUAGAGGUGAAAUUCGUAGAUAUUCGGAAGAACACCAGUGGCGAAGGCGGCUAUCUGGAAGGUAACUGACGCUCAGGCACGAAAGCGUGGGGAGCAAAAGGG
Molecule: ribosomal RNA, 253 nt
Filed under: uncultured bacterium
Lineage: Bacteria
Description: partial 16S ribosomal RNA
Rfam family: Bacterial small subunit ribosomal RNA
Source: RNAcentral